Chryseobacterium sp. SCN 40-13 is the source of this 119-nucleotide non-coding RNA. Lineage: Bacteria; Pseudomonadati; Bacteroidota; Flavobacteriia; Flavobacteriales; Weeksellaceae. The record is from Rfam.
UAAAGAACUGGACUAUCGGAUAGGACUUUCAGGAGUUGUUUUCAAACCGCCUUGAGGUGCUGAUUUAAAGAGAAUUGGUAUUGAGCGUCAAGGUCAAAGCAGCGCCAACGUUUGUAUGU